GACCCGAGAGGGUGAUCGGCCACACUGGAACUGAGACACGGUCCAGACUCCUACGGGAGGCAGCAGUAGGGAAUCUUCCGCAAUGGGCGAAAGCCUGACGGAGCAACGCCGCGUGAGUGAUGAAGGUCUUCGGAUCGUAAAACUCUGUUAUCAGGGAAGAACAAAUGUGUAAGUAACUGUGCACAUCUUGACGGUACCUGAUCAGAAAGCCACGGCUAACUACGUGCCAGCAGCCGCGGUAAUACGUAGGUGGCAAGCGUUAUCCGGAAUUAUUGGGCGUAAAGCGCGCGUAGGCGGUUUUUUAAGUCUGAUGUGAAAGCCCACGGCUCAACCGUGGAGGGUCAUUGGAAACUG
This 354-nucleotide ribosomal RNA is filed under the name bacterium LimB-100-J-168. Its description in RNAcentral is "bacterial SSU rRNA". It matches the Rfam family "Bacterial small subunit ribosomal RNA", at positions 289 to 635 of the family's 1533-position model. The record is from RNAcentral.